Molecule: ribosomal RNA, 442 nt
Filed under: uncultured bacterium
Lineage: Bacteria
Description: partial 16S ribosomal RNA
Rfam family: Bacterial small subunit ribosomal RNA
Source: RNAcentral
CCUACGGGAGACAGCAGUAGGGAAUCUUUCACAAUGGGCGAAAGCCUGAUGGAGCAACGCCGCGUGCAGGAUGAAGGCCUUCGGGUUGUAAACUGCUUUUAUAAGCGAGAAAUAUGAUGGUAACUUAUGAAUAAGGAUCGGCUAACUACGUGCCAGCAGCCGCGGUCAUACGUAGGAUCCGAGCAUUAUCCGGAGUGACUGGGUGUAAAGAGUUGCGUAGGUGGCAUAAUAAGUAGCUAGUGAAAUCUGGUGGCUCAACCAUUCAGACUAUUAGCUAAACUGUUAAGCUCGAGACCGUUAGGGGUAACUGGAAUUACUAGUGUAGGAGUGAAAUCCGUAGAUAUUAGAAGGAACACCAAUAGCGUAGGCAGGUUGCUGGGACGGUUCUGACACUAAGGCACGAAAGCGUAGGGAGCAAACGGGAUUAGAUACCCCAGUAGUG